Molecule: long non-coding RNA, 1419 nt
Filed under: Homo sapiens (human)
Lineage: Eukaryota; Metazoa; Chordata; Mammalia; Primates; Hominidae
Description: PREDICTED lncRNA (TCONS_00182883)
Source: RNAcentral
GCCGGGGCGUCCCCCGCGGGAGCCCGCAGCCACCCGGGACGCGCAUCCAGACGUGGCGCUUCGGACCGGGCACGCUGCGCCCGGGGGCUCGGCGGACCCCGCGUAGCCGCCGCUUCGGAGCUUGUGCGGCGCGGGCUGGCCAGCGGGGCGGCCAGGGCCCGGCCCGCCUCCCCAGCGCCCGCCCGGCUUCUCCCCCUGGCGGUGGGAGCCUCGGCGGCCGCUGGCGACACUAGGCGCACUGAAGCCCGAGCCGAGCCGAGCCCGAGCCGCCGCCGCCGCCGCCGCUGCUGCGCACCGCUCCCGGGCUCCCUCCCAGCGCGCCGGCCGGGGUGUGGGGGGCGGCGGGCCGGAGGGGCGAGGGCGGGCCAGGGGGCGCACACGGGGGUUGGCGCGGAAGACAGGACCCUCAGCCUCGAGGGAGCCCCUAGGUGACCAGGCAAAAUGGCAGUUCCUUCCAGCUGGUCCUCAGAUGGGCACAUCUAUUAGCCUCUGCUCUUGUAAGAAGUUAGCUGCAGAACCCACAUGUGAAUCCUUGUAGGACUCUGGAGAAGAUCAAAUGGGAGCUUAGAUGUGGAAGCUCUUUGGAAACCAAGAAACACUCUGAAAAUGAAAAGGCAUAAGAAUGUUUAUCACAGCAUGGCAUAUAUUGGAAGUUUAGUAAAUGAAGAUACAUCCAAUCUGACAUUCUAUUCACAACCACAAAGAGAUAAUGUAGAAACAUAUUUAGUAAUGUGAGAAAAUACUAAAUAUUAAGUGAAAAAGGUGGAAGAGUAAACUGUUCCUGUUUCUCCAUCUUGACAGGAAGCAGAAGUUCUCCUUAGCUGAUUUUUCUUCUUGCCUUAUACUGGGUUCUUUAACACCAGAACAAAAAUAAAUAAAUAAAAGAAUCUUCCAGAAAUUCAUGAAGAGACUUCAGGUCAGGAAAGCCUGAACUUUCUCAUCCAACACCCGUUCAAGUCGGAGGAUGCUGAUUAAUUCAUGAUGGAAAGGUAUCAAUUUCACAGCCCAGACCUCUACAUUCUUGAAAUGCUCUUCUCAUGGGAGACAUUAAAUAAGCUUUGAAUUAACUAAAAAUAUCCAACCCGAGCAGGAUAAAACUGAUCAUCCUGAGGAUAUUGCCCUUGGAGUUAAUUUUUUGAGAGAAAUAAAACAAUAAACAUCAUAAGACACAAACCCCAAGCAACUGAUCUCACUGUUAAAAUCCAACCUGAGAACAAUGGAAUGGACCAUACUGUCUUUGUCACAACUCUGCCAUUGCAGCGUGAAAGCAUCCAUAGACGGUACACAAAUGCAUGGAUGUAGUUGUACUCCAGUACAACUGCAAAAAGCAGACAGCUGGCUGGGUUUAGCCUACGGGCCAUAGUUUACACAACUCAAUCUAGGUGAUUGCCUGGUAACUUUGUGAUUGUAAACAGGAAA